AUGGCACCCCCCAAACCCCACCAUUGCAAAUUUGCAAUUGCAACGGCAUACCCCACCCAUCUCCACCUCCGGUGCCAUGUCCAUGUGGCCCGCCCUCGGAAACCACCAAACGCGCGCCCCCACGCGGCGACGCCACCACCCUCCGAGAGAAGAGAAUCCAAACCUCUUUCUCUCUCUUACCUAAGCCGCGCGCGGGUCCUCCCCGAUUUUCUCUCCCUCUCUCUAAAUACAGCGGCGGCGUCGCGCGCCCGAGCCCGCCAAAUCCCCCGCCCCCUCGCGCCCUUUUUCCCGCUCCCCAUUAUUCCCGCGAUUCCCCUCCCAGCCAGCUGCCCACCGGAAGCAGAGGAAGCAGAGGAGAGGCCGGGGCCGGCGCCAUGGGGAAGUACAUGCGCAAGAGCAAGGCCUCGGGGGAGGUGGCCGUCAUGGAGGUCGCCGGCGCGCUGCUCGGCGUCCGCACCCGCUCCCGCACCCUCGCCGCGCAGCAGCAGCGCGCCCCCUCCCCGUCCCCCUCGCCGCAGCGCAAGGGGCAGGAGGACGGCGACCCCGGGGCUGGCGACUACCUCGAGCUCAGGAGCAGGCGGCUCGAGAAGCAGCCGCCGCCGGGGGCCAGGGAGAAGGAGGACGCGCCGCAGCGGCCGCGAGGAGGGCCGCCGCCGCUGGCGGGAGGAGGAUGGAGCAGGCGCCGUCGUUCGCCGCCGAGGGGUUCGAGGCCGACCUCGAGGUCUCCUUCGGCGACAACGUGCUGGACUGGGACGCCACCGACAGGGGCACCAGGGAGACGACGCCGUGCAGCCUGAUCUACAGCUCGGAGACGAUGAGCACCCCGGGGUCGGCGACGGGAGCCCGCAACCAUUCCCGGCGCAGGGCGCAGACGCCGGUGUGCCGCUACGUCCCGAGCUCGCUCGAGAUGGACGAGUUCUUCGCCGCCGCGGAGCAGCAGCAGCACCAGAGCUUCAGGGACAAGUACAACUUCUGCCCGGCGAGCGAGCGCCCGCUCCCGGGGCGGUACGAGUGGACGGUGCUAGACUGCUAGGGCUUCCUCAUACCUCACACCACCACCACCACCACCAGGAGCUCCUCCAUUGA
This 1086-nucleotide ribosomal RNA is filed under the name Triticum aestivum (bread wheat). RNAcentral describes it as "partial small subunit ribosomal RNA". The record is from RNAcentral. Lineage: Eukaryota; Viridiplantae; Streptophyta; Magnoliopsida; Poales; Poaceae.